This 655-nucleotide ribosomal RNA is filed under the name Salmonella enterica subsp. enterica serovar Heidelberg. Its description in RNAcentral is "partial 23S ribosomal RNA". It matches the Rfam family "Bacterial large subunit ribosomal RNA", at positions 2261 to 2910 of the family's 2925-position model. The record is from RNAcentral. Lineage: Bacteria; Pseudomonadati; Pseudomonadota; Gammaproteobacteria; Enterobacterales; Enterobacteriaceae.
GUGGGUAGUUUGACUGGGGCGGUCUCCUCCUAAAGAGUAACGGAGGAGCACGAAGGUUGGCUAAUCCUGGUCGGACAUCAGGAGGUUAGUGCAAUGGCAUAAGCCAGCUUGACUGCGAGCGUGACGGCGCGAGCAGGUGCGAAAGCAGGUCAUAGUGAUCCGGUGGUUCUGAAUGGAAGGGCCAUCGCUCAACGGAUAAAAGGUACUCCGGGGAUAACAGGCUGAUACCGCCCAAGAGUUCAUAUCGACGGCGGUGUUUGGCACCUCGAUGUCGGCUCAUCACAUCCUGGGGCUGAAGUAGGUCCCAAGGGUAUGGCUGUUCGCCAUUUAAAGUGGUACGCGAGCUGGGUUUAGAACGUCGUGAGACAGUUCGGUCCCUAUCUGCCGUGGGCGCUGGAGAACUGAGGGGGGCUGCUCCUAGUACGAGAGGACCGGAGUGGACGCAUCACUGGUGUUCGGGUUGUCAUGCCAAUGGCACUGCCCGGUAGCUAAAUGCGGAAGAGAUAAGUGCUGAAAGCAUCUAAGCACGAAACUUGCCCCGAGAUGAGUUCUCCCUGAGACUUAAAGUCUCCUGAAGGAACGUUGAAGACGACGACGUUGAUAGGCCGGGUGUGUAAGCGCAGCGAUGCGUUGAGCUAACCGGUACUAAUGAACC